CGAGCUAUUGAAAAAAUCAAACAAUUCAGUAUCGUUUCGGGCUCCAUAGGGGCAACAUCUCCUAAAAAAACUUAGUUUCGGUUAUAAAAAUAACAAAAUUUUUGUGUUAAAAAUAAAAUUUUCGUAAAAAUGAAAAUGUGAAAAAAACCAGAAGAGCACUUACACAAAUCGGCAGUUAGGGCUAAUGGCAGACAUUCUUAGACUUCGAUAUACCAAGACACAUACACGCACAAUGUCAUGCGACACAACGCGUUGCAACGCUGCUAGGAAAGCCCUGUAAACUGAUGUGACGCUCUCCGUUGGAUGGAACUACAUUGGCAACACUGGCACACUCUUAUUUCGAUAUUUGGAAUGAUGGCAUCUUCUACUUCUACGAAUCACAAGGCGACAACUCUACUUAAACUGCCGAACAAUCCUCUACUCUGGUACACAGCCAUCCUUGACGGACAGCGUACAGCUUUUGACGGGCUUUCCUAGGUUUUUAUAUCGUUAACAUCCAAGAGGUUACUUCACGCAAAUAUUCACGCACUACACAUUCACAAUCUCUCGUUAAAAAACUCUGGGCUGAUGGCGAUGCAGUUGGCAUGGCGAACGCACAUUUUAAUGUUUAAUUCUAGCAUAUUAAUAAAUAUAUUGAAAGAA
This is a long non-coding RNA of Drosophila miranda, 642 nucleotides long. RefSeq lists it as uncharacterized. NCBI's taxonomy places the organism in Eukaryota, Metazoa, Arthropoda, Insecta, Diptera, Drosophilidae. The record is from RefSeq and is a predicted model, not a curated record. The transcript has 3 exons.